Molecule: long non-coding RNA, 874 nt
Organism: Toxotes jaculatrix (banded archerfish)
Lineage: Eukaryota; Metazoa; Chordata; Actinopteri; Toxotidae
Exons: 7
Source: RefSeq, a predicted model, not a curated record
GAGUUUGUUUACAUCUGAUUACAGAAGUUCGUUUGUCGGAUAUUUUCCCUCCUGCCGUCACAUAAUCACAGAAACACGCCAUUAAACAGCCAACAUUCACCUCCUGGAGUCGAGUGAACUUCAGUUUAUACUGACGACAGGCUGACUGAGGGUGGUGCUGACGGGAAGCUGAAAAUGGACUGAGCAAAAUGGAAAAGGUUCAUCUUCAGAGGAGCACAAUUAUCUGCAGAUGUAGUCUUUCACCGGGGCUAACGUCGUCACCUCGUGGAGAGCACGCUGACUCGGUGGAGUGAGGCUUCAGACGGUUGUCUUUAGCCCACGCAGCCUCCUCUGGAUGGAAGCGCGACAUGUGAGCCCUCAUCCAUCCAUCCAUCCGUUUUCUACACCGCUUGAUCCGUCAGGGUCGCGGCAGAGCUGGAGCCUAUCCUCGCUGACUACGGUCUUCCUUGGACAUCGAACUCCAGUGGACAAUCAGCCUGAAUGAGUAUCAGAACUUCAAGCAGGUUGAAACAGAGGAAUAACGCUCUCUUCCGGGGAAAAGCUGCAGGUGUGCCAGCAGAGUGUCCAGAAAUGCUUCCUUGGUCCUAGAGACUCCUGAAGAACUGCAGGGAGAGUUCGUAGGUCAGGAACAUGGUGGCGCUCAUCGGGAAGCCUCGAAUGGCGUUUACUGACGCUCCACGGACGAAGACCUGCGCACAGAAAAAGAGUUUUAAUUAAUGAAGGUGGAAAACAACUGUGGUUACAGUCAUAUUGCUCACCUGUAUUCCCUCCGUCUUGUAGCUGUGGAUGAUGCAGUGUAAGAUUCCCUUGUACUUCCUCUGCAGCUGAGCGUCGGCCUGCAAUCGACUCUUCACCACAUCAGCCGGCGUGGCUG